AGGUUCCAAACAGGCAUGCGAGGUGCCUUUGGGAAGCCCCAGGGCACUGUGGCCAGGGUUCACACUGGCCAAGUUAUCAUCUCCAUUCACACCAAGCUGCAGAACAAGGAGCAUGUGAUUGAGGCCCUGCGCAGGGCCAAGUUCAAGUUUUCUGGCCGCCAGAAGAUCCACAUCUCAAAGAAGUGGGGCUUCACCAAGUUCAAUGCCAAUGAGUUUGAAGACAUGGUGACUGAGAAGCGGCUCAUCCCAGAUGGCUGUCGGGUCAAGUACAUUUCCAAUCGUGGCCCUGUGGACAAGUGGCGGGCCCUGCACUCAUGA
Molecule: long non-coding RNA, 318 nt
Filed under: Homo sapiens (human)
Lineage: Eukaryota; Metazoa; Chordata; Mammalia; Primates; Hominidae
Description: non-protein coding lnc-CPM-6:1
Source: RNAcentral